UUAAGCGACUAAGCGUACACGGUGGAUGCCCUGGCAGUCAGAGGCGAUGAAGGACGUGCUAAUCUGCGAUAAGCGUCGGUAAGGUGAUAUGAACCGUUAUAACCGGCGAUUUCCGAAUGGGGAAACCCAGUGUGUUUCGACACACUAUCAUUAACUGAAUCCAUAGGUUAAUGAGGCGAACCGGGGGAACUGAAACAUCUAAGUACCCCGAGGAAAAGAAAUCAACCGAGAUUCCCCCAGUAGCGGCGAGCGAACGGGGAGCAGCCCAGAGCCUGAAUCAGUAUGUGUGUUAGUGGAAGCGUCUGGAAAGGCGCGCGAUACAGGGUGACAGCCCCGUACACAAAAAUGCACAUGCUGUGAGCUCGAUGAGUAGGGCGGGACACGUGGUAUCCUGUCUGAAUAUGGGGGGACCAUCCUCCAAGGCUAAAUACUCCUGACUGACCGAUAGUGAACCAGUACCGUGAGGGAAAGGCGAAAAGAACCCCGGCGAGGGGAGUGAAAAAGAACCUGAAACCGUGUACGUACAAGCAGUGGGAGCACGCUUAGGCGUGUGACUGCGUACCUUUUGUAUAAUGGGUCAGCGACUUAUAUUCUGUAGCAAGGUUAACCGAAUAGGGGAGCCGAAGGGAAACCGAGUCUUAACUGGGCGUUAAGUUGCAGGGUAUAGACCCGAAACCCGGUGAUCUAGCCAUGGGCAGGUUGAAGGUUGGGUAACACUAACUGGAGGACCGAACCGACUAAUGUUGAAAAAUUAGCGGAUGACUUGUGGCUGGGGGUGAAAGGCCAAUCAAACCGGGAGAUAGCUGGUUCUCCCCGAAAGCUAUUUAGGUAGCGCCUCGUGAAUUCAUCUCCGGGGGUAGAGCACUGUUUCGGCAAGGGGGUCAUCCCGACUUACCAACCCGAUGCAAACUGCGAAUACCGGAGAAUGUUAUCACGGGAGACACACGGCGGGUGCUAACGUCCGUCGUGAAGAGGGAAACAACCCAGACCGCCAGCUAAGGUCCCAAAGUCAUGGUUAAGUGGGAAACGAUGUGGGAAGGCCCAGACAGCCAGGAUGUUGGCUUAGAAGCAGCCAUCAUUUAAAGAAAGCGUAAUAGCUCACUGGUCGAGUCGGCCUGCGCGGAAGAUGUAACGGGGCUAAACCAUGCACCGAAGCUGCGGCAGCGACGCUUAUGCGUUGUUGGGUAGGGGAGCGUUCUGUAAGCCUGUGAAGGUGUACUGUGAGGUAUGCUGGAGGUAUCAGAAGUGCGAAUGCUGACAUAAGUAACGAUAAAGCGGGUGAAAAGCCCGCUCGCCGGAAGACCAAGGGUUCCUGUCCAACGUUAAUCGGGGCAGGGUGAGUCGACCCCUAAGGCGAGGCCGAAAGGCGUAGUCGAUGGGAAACAGGUUAAUAUUCCUGUACUUGGUGUUACUGCGAAGGGGGGACGGAGAAGGCUAUGUUGGCCGGGCGACGGUUGUCCCGGUUUAAGCGUGUAGGCUGGUUUUCCAGGCAAAUCCGGAAAAUCAAGGCUGAGGCGUGAUGACGAGGCACUACGGUGCUGAAGCAACAAAUGCCCUGCUUCCAGGAAAAGCCUCUAAGCAUCAGGUAACAUCAAAUCGUACCCCAAACCGACACAGGUGGUCAGGUAGAGAAUACCAAGGCGCUUGAGAGAACUCGGGUGAAGGAACUAGGCAAAAUGGUGCCGUAACUUCGGGAGAAGGCACGCUGAUAUGUAGGUGAAGUCCCUCGCGGAUGGAGCUGAAAUCAGUCGAAGAUACCAGCUGGCUGCAACUGUUUAUUAAAAACACAGCACUGUGCAAACACGAAAGUGGACGUAUACGGUGUGACGCCUGCCCGGUGCCGGAAGGUUAAUUGAUGGGGUCAGCGCAAGCGAAGCUCUUGAUCGAAGCCCCGGUAAACGGCGGCCGUAACUAUAACGGUCCUAAGGUAGCGAAAUUCCUUGUCGGGUAAGUUCCGACCUGCACGAAUGGCGUAAUGAUGGCCAGGCUGUCUCCACCCGAGACUCAGUGAAAUUGAACUCGCUGUGAAGAUGCAGUGUACCCGCGGCAAGACGGAAAGACCCCGUGAACCUUUACUAUAGCUUGACACUGAACAUUGAGCCUUGAUGUGUAGGAUAGGUGGGAGGCUUUGAAGUGUGGACGCCAGUCUGCAUGGAGCCGACCUUGAAAUACCACCCUUUAAUGUUUGAUGUUCUAACGUGGACCCGUAAUCCGGGUUGCGGACAGUGUCUGGUGGGUAGUUUGACUGGGGCGGUCUCCUCCUAAAGAGUAACGGAGGAGCACGAAGGUUGGCUAAUCCUGGUCGGACAUCAGGAGGUUAGUGCAAUGGCAUAAGCCAGCUUGACUGCGAGCGUGACGGCGCGAGCAGGUGCGAAAGCAGGUCAUAGUGAUCCGGUGGUUCUGAAUGGAAGGGCCAUCGCUCAACGGAUAAAAGGUACUCCGGGGAUAACAGGCUGAUACCGCCCAAGAGUUCAUAUCGACGGCGGUGUUUGGCACCUCGAUGUCGGCUCAUCACAUCCUGGGGCUGAAGUAGGUCCCAAGGGUAUGGCUGUUCGCCAUUUAAAGUGGUACGCGAGCUGGGUUUAGAACGUCGUGAGACAGUUCGGUCCCUAUCUGCCGUGGGCGCUGGAGAACUGAGGGGGGCUGCUCCUAGUACGAGAGGACCGGAGUGGACGCAUCACUGGUGUUCGGGUUGUCAUGCCAAUGGCACUGCCCGGUAGCUAAAUGCGGAAGAGAUAAGUGCUGAAAGCAUCUAAGCACGAAACUUGCCCCGAGAUGAGUUCUCCCUGACUCCUUGAGAGUCCUGAAGGAACGUUGAAGACGACGACGUUGAUAGGCCGGGUGUGUAAGCGCAGCGAUGCGUUGAGCUAACCGGUACUAAUGAACCGUGAGGCUUAACCUU
RNAcentral lists this ribosomal RNA (2902 nucleotides) under Escherichia coli. RNAcentral's name for it is "bacterial LSU rRNA". It matches the Rfam family "Bacterial large subunit ribosomal RNA". Lineage: Bacteria; Pseudomonadati; Pseudomonadota; Gammaproteobacteria; Enterobacterales; Enterobacteriaceae. The record is from RNAcentral.